RNAcentral lists this transfer RNA (74 nucleotides) under Acidimicrobiales bacterium. RNAcentral's name for it is "tRNA-Thr". It matches the Rfam family "tRNA". Rfam says of the family: Transfer RNA (tRNA) molecules are approximately 80 nucleotides in length. RNAcentral also lists the same sequence under 2 other names. The record is from RNAcentral. Lineage: Bacteria; Bacillati; Actinomycetota; Acidimicrobiia; Acidimicrobiales.
GCCCGGGUAGCUCAGUCCGGCAGAGCAGCUCACUCGUAAUGAGCAGGUCGUCGGUUCGAAUCCGACCUCGGGCU